Long non-coding RNA from Fukomys damarensis (Damara mole-rat), 813 nucleotides. RefSeq lists it as uncharacterized. Lineage: Eukaryota; Metazoa; Chordata; Mammalia; Rodentia; Bathyergidae. The record is from RefSeq and is a predicted model, not a curated record. The transcript has 5 exons.
UUUGAUGAGCAAUGAGAUACAAAAGCUGAGAAAAAGUGAGAGCAGGAAACAAGGGUCCAGGUGUGGAUGGCAAAGGAGAAAGCGGAGUUGCUCCCUGAGGUAGCGAAUGAAGGAGAAGCAAUGGGGGGAGGGGGUAGUUAACUGUGCGGAACAGCAGCAGUUAGGAGCUCCAGGGAGCGCUUCCCAACAGUUUGUCAUUCAAAUCAGGAAGAAGGAAGAACAGGAGCCGGCAGGCUAAAGUGAGGCAAGGAUGGGUCACAGGAAGACACACUGGGGGGAGCGGAGGAGAGGGACAGAGUGCAAGAAGGAAGAGGAGGCUUAAAUGAAGCAAUUAAACUCUCCCUAGCCCCUGUCUGCACCAUCAGAUAAGGACGUUUUCCAAGAGUUAUUUCAUGCAGCUAAGUUUCCUGAGAAUGAGUUUGACAGUUUUGCAUCACCUUUUAUGAUCUUCAUUGAAGACCCAAACUUUUAAUCACCAUGGAUUUUCUGGAUGUGUUGGGUACCUGUAAAGACUCUGGCUGACCUUGAGGAAGUUCGAGAAAGGUUCUUCCUCAAAGAUCCUUGAAGAGCAGCUCAUGUACAAAGCUUGAAGCAUGAUCAGAUCUGCCCAGGUUGGCAAGGCAAACCCAAGAUACUUUUCUGGAAUUAAAUGCUCAAGCAAUUAAGGACAUGUGGGUAUCUUCGGGUACUGUGAUUCUUAAUAGCUUAUCCCUCUGUUAAAAGAAAAAUGAUCAAAUAUGAAAUCCCUGGGCAUAAACAAAACAAAAGAAGAAAACAGAUGACUGCUGGCACUCAUUUUUUAUAGUAUUCUGA